Molecule: ribosomal RNA, 496 nt
Filed under: uncultured bacterium
Lineage: Bacteria
Description: partial 16S ribosomal RNA
Rfam family: Bacterial small subunit ribosomal RNA
Source: RNAcentral
AUUGAACGCCGGCGGAACGCUUUACACAUGCAAGUCGAACGGUAGAGGGGGCAACCCCUCGAGAGUGGCGAACGGGUGAGUAAUAUAUCGGAACGUGCCCAGUCGUGGGGGAUAACGUAGCGAAAGUUACGCUGAUACCGCAUACGAUCUAAGGAUGAAAGCGGGGGAUCGCAAGACCUCGCGCGAUUGGAGCGGCCGAUAUCAGAUUAGGCAGUUGGUGGGGUAAAGGCUCACCAAGCCAACGAUCUGUAGCUGGUCUGAGAGGACGACCAGCCACACUGGAACUGAGACACGGUCCAGACUCCUACGGGAGGCAGCAGUGGGGAAUUUUGGACAAUGGACGCAAGUCUGAUCCAGCCAUUCCGCGUGCAGGAUGAAGGCCCUCGGGUUGUAAACUGCUUUUGUACGGAACGAAAAGGUCUCUCUUAAUACGGGGGACUCAUGACGGUACCGUAAGAAUAAGCACCGGCUAACUACGUGCCAGCAGCCGCCGCAG